RNAcentral lists this ribosomal RNA (460 nucleotides) under uncultured bacterium. RNAcentral describes it as "partial 16S ribosomal RNA". It matches the Rfam family "Bacterial small subunit ribosomal RNA", at positions 338 to 795 of the family's 1533-position model. The record is from RNAcentral.
CCUACGGGAGGCAGCAGUGAGGAAUAUUGGUCCAUGGGCGUAAGCCUGAACCAGCCAAGUCGCGUGAGGGAUGAAGGUUCUAUGGAUCGUAAACCUCUUUUAUAAGGGCAUAAAGUGUGGGACGUGUCCUAUUUUGUAUGUACCUUAUGAAUCAGGAUCUGCUAACUCCGUGCCAUCAGCCGCGGUAAUACGGAGGAUCCGAGCGUUAUCCGGCUUUAUUGGGUUUAAAGGGUGCGUAGGCGGCCUUUUAAGUCAGCGGUGAAAGUCUGUGGCUCAACCAUAGAAUUGCCGUUGACACUGGGGUGCUUGAGUAUGUUUGAGGCAGGCGGAAUGCGGGGUGUAGCGGUGAAAUGCUUAGAUAUCACGCAGAACCCCGAUUGCGAAGGCAGCCUGCCAAGCCAUGACUGACGCUGAUGCACGAAAGCGUGGGGAUCAAACAGGAUUAGAUACCCCUGUAGUC